GACGAACGCUGGCGGCGUGCUUAACACAUGCAAGUCGUACGGUAAGGCCCUUUCGGGGGUACACGAGUGGACAAAGGGUGAAUAACACGUGAGUAACCUGCCCAUAACUUUGGGAUAACGCUAGGAAACUGGUGCUAAUACUGGAUAGGUGCUCCUGCUGCAUGGUGGGGGUUGGAAAGUUCCGGCGGUUGUGGAUGGACUCGCGGCCUAUCAGCUUGUUGGUGGGGUAGUGGCCUACCAAGGCGGCGACGGGUAGCCGGCCUGAGAGGGUGACCGGCCAACUUGGGGCCGGGGUACGGCCCAGGCUCCUAACGGGGGGCACCGGGGGGAAUUUUGCACCAUGGGCGCAAGCCUGAUGCAGCAACGCCGCGUGCCGGAUGACCGGCUUCGGGUUGUAAAACGCUUUCCGCAGGGACGAAGCUUUGUGUGACGGUAAUGGGUAAAGAAGCACCGGCUAACUACGUG
RNAcentral lists this ribosomal RNA (465 nucleotides) under uncultured bacterium. RNAcentral describes it as "partial 16S ribosomal RNA". It matches the Rfam family "Bacterial small subunit ribosomal RNA", at positions 28 to 507 of the family's 1533-position model. The record is from RNAcentral.